GACGAACGCUGGCGGCGUGCCUAAUACAUGCAAGUCGAGCGAAGUUUUUCUGGUGCUUGCACCGGAAAAACUUAGCGGCGAACGGGUGAGUAACACGUAAAGAACCUGCCUCAUAGACUGGGACAACUAUUGGAAACGAUAGCUAAUACCGGAUAACAGCAUUAACUGCAUGGUUGAUGUUUAAAAGUUGGUUUUGCUAACACUAUGAGAUGGCUUUGCGGUUCAUUAGCUAGUUGGUGGGGUAAAGGCCUACCAAGGCGACGAUGCAUAGCCGACCUGAGAGGGUGAUCGGCCACACUGGGACUGAGACACGGCCCAGACUCCUACGGGAGGCAGCAGUAGGGAAUCUUCCGCAAUGGGCGAAAGCCUGACGGAGCAACGCCGCGUGAGUGAAGAAGGAUUUCGGUUCGUAAAGCUCUGUUGUUAGGGAAGAAUGAUUGUGUAGUAACUAUACACAGUAGAGACGGUACCUAACCAGAAAGCCACGGCUAACUACGUG
This 499-nucleotide ribosomal RNA is filed under the name uncultured bacterium. Its description in RNAcentral is "partial 16S ribosomal RNA". It matches the Rfam family "Bacterial small subunit ribosomal RNA", at positions 28 to 507 of the family's 1533-position model. The record is from RNAcentral.